Non-coding RNA from Pelobates cultripes (western spadefoot toad), 418 nucleotides. Lineage: Eukaryota; Metazoa; Chordata; Amphibia; Anura; Pelobatidae. The record is from the annotation of a GenBank genome assembly.
GUGGAAGCAGCGGUGGAGGAGGAGGAUGCGGUAGCCAACACUGUUUUUUACACAUAUAUAUAUAUAUAUAUAUAUAUACACAUUUUCUUUAAUUGGGGUAGCCCCCAAAAUAUUGGGACAUAUAAAAAAAAAGACAACUCUGUUCGGCUGUUGACAUUAUAGUUGACAUUAUAGUUGUGCAGGCACUUUGUUGACUCUAGAGAACCUCGGACCAAAUGCACAUCCCCGUGCCGGCGACUUUGCAUGCGGAUGACAUCCAUAUCAACUUUCGAUGCCAGUUUCUGCGCCUACCAUGGUGACCACAGGUAACGGGGAAUUAGGGUUCCAUACCGUACAGGGACCCUGAGAAACGGCUACCACAUGCAAGGAAGGCAGCAGGCACGCAAAUUACCCACUCCCGACAUGGGAAGGUAGUGAC